Molecule: ribosomal RNA, 775 nt
Filed under: Leuconostoc pseudomesenteroides
Lineage: Bacteria; Bacillati; Bacillota; Bacilli; Lactobacillales; Lactobacillaceae
Description: bacterial SSU rRNA
Rfam family: Bacterial small subunit ribosomal RNA
Source: RNAcentral
UCAGGAUGAACGCUGGCGGCGUGCCUAAUACAUGCAAGUCGAACGCACAGCGAAAGGUGCUUGCACCUUUCAAGUGAGUGGCGAACGGGUGAGUAACACGUGGACAACCUGCCUCAAGGCUGGGGAUAACAUUUGGAAACAGAUGCUAAUACCGAAUAAAACUUAGUGUCGCAUGACACAAAGUUAAAAGGCGCUUUGGCGUCACCUAGAGAUGGAUCCGCGGUGCAUUAGUUAGUUGGUGGGGUAAAGGCCUACCAAGACAAUGAUGCAUAGCCGAGUUGAGAGACUGAUCGGCCACAUUGGGACUGAGACACGGCCCAAACUCCUACGGGAGGCUGCAGUAGGGAAUCUUCCACAAUGGGCGAAAGCCUGAUGGAGCAACGCCGCGUGUGUGAUGAAGGCUUUCGGGUCGUAAAGCACUGUUGUAUGGGAAGAACAGCUAGAAUAGGGAAUGAUUUUAGUUUGACGGUACCAUACCAGAAAGGGACGGCUAAAUACGUGCCAGCAGCCGCGGUAAUACGUAUGUCCCGAGCGUUAUCCGGAUUUAUUGGGCGUAAAGCGAGCGCAGACGGUUGAUUAAGUCUGAUGUGAAAGCCCGGAGCUCAACUCCGGAAUGGCAUUGGAAACUGGUUAACUUGAGUGCAGUAGAGGUAAGUGGAACUCCAUGUGUAGCGGUGGAAUGCGUAGAUAUAUGGAAGAACACCAGUGGCGAAGGCGGCUUACUGGACUGUAACUGACGUUGAGGCUCGAAAGUGUGGGUAGCAAACAGGAUUAG